CCCCAGUAGCGGCGAGCGAACGGGGAGCAGCCCAGAGCCUGAAUCAGUGUGUGUGUUAGUGGAAGCGUCUGGAAAGGCGCGCGAUACAGGGUGACAGCCCCGUACACAAAAAUGCACAUACUGUGAGCUCGAUGAGUAGGGCGGGACACGUGGUAUCCUGUCUGAAUAUGGGGGGACCAUCCUCCAAGGCUAAAUACUCCUGACUGACCGAUAGUGAACCAGUACCGUGAGGGAAAGGCGAAAAGAACCCCGGCGAGGGGAGUGAAAAAGAACCUGAAACCGUGUACGUACAAGCAGUGGGAGCACGCUUAGGCGUGUGACUGCGUACCUUUUGUAUAAUGGGUCAGCGACUUAUAUUCUGUAGCAAGGUUAACCGAAUAGGGGAGCCGAAGGGAAACCGAGUCUUAACUGGGCGUUAAGUUGCAGGGUAUAGACCCGAAACCCGGUGAUCUAGCCAUGGGCAGGUUGAAGGUUGGGUAACACUAACUGGAGGACCGAACCGACUAAUGUUGAAAAAUUAGCGGAUGACUUGUGGCUGGGGGUGAAAGGCCAAUCAAACCGGGAGAUAGCUGGUUCUCCCCGAAAGCUAUUUAGGUAGCGCCUCGUGAAUUCAUCUCCGGGGGUAGAGCACUGUUUCGGCAAGGGGGUCAUCCCGACUUACCAACCCGAUGCAAACUGCGAAUACCGGAGAAUGUUAUCACGGGAGACACACGGCGGGUGCUAACGUCCGUCGUGAAGAGGGAAACAACCCAGACCGCCAGCUAAGGUCCCAAAGUCAUGGUUAAGUGGGAAACGAUGUGGGAAGGCCCAGACAGCCAGGAUGUUGGCUUAGAAGCAGCCAUCAUUUAAAGAAAGCGUAAUAGCUCACUGGUCGAGUCGGCCUGCGCGGAAGAUGUAACGGGGCUAAACCAUGCACCGAAGCUGCGGCAGCGACGCUGAUGCGUUGUUGGGUAGGGGAGCGUUCUGUAAGCCUGUGAAGGUGUGCUGUGAGGCAUGCUGGAGGUAUCAGAAGUGCGAAUGCUGACAUAAGUAACGAUAAAGCGGGUGAAAAGCCCGCUCGCCGGAAGACCAAGGGUUCCUGUCCAACGUUAAUCGGGGCAGGGUGAGUCGACCCCUAAGGCGAGGCCGAAAGGCGUAGUCGAUGGGAAACAGGUUAAUAUUCCUGUACUUGGUGUUACUGCGAAGGGGGGACGGAGAAGGCUAUGUUGGCCGGGCGACGGUUGUCCCGGUUUAAGCGUGUAGGCUGGUUUUCCAGGCAAAUCCGGAAAAUCAAGGCUGAGGCGUGAUGACGAGGCACUACGGUGCUGAAGCAACAAAUGCCCUGCUUCCAGGAAAAGCCUCUAAGCAUCAGGUAACAUCAAAUCGUACCCCAAACCGACACAGGUGGUCAGGUAGAGAAUACCAAGGCGCUUGAGAGAACUCGGGUGAAGGAACUAGGCAAAAUGGUGCCGUAACUUCGGGAGAAGGCACGCUGAUAUGUAGGUGAAGCGACUUGCUCGUGGAGCUGAAAUCAGUCGAAGAUACCAGCUGGCUGCAACUGUUUAUUAAAAACACAGCACUGUGCAAACACGAAAGUGGACGUAUACGGUGUGACGCCUGCCCGGUGCCGGAAGGUUAAUUGAUGGGGUCAGCGCAAGCGAAGCUCUUGAUCGAAGCCCCGGUAAACGGCGGCCGUAACUAUAACGGUCCUAAGGUAGCGAAAUUCCUUGUCGGGUAAGUUCCGACCUGCACGAAUGGCGUAAUGAUGGCCAGGCUGUCUCCACCCGAGACUCAGUGAAAUUGAACUCGCUGUGAAGAUGCAGUGUACCCGCGGCAAGACGGAAAGACCCCGUGAACCUUUACUAUAGCUUGACACUGAACAUUGAGCCUUGAUGUGUAGGAUAGGUGGGAGGCUUUGAAGUGUGG
RNAcentral lists this ribosomal RNA (1905 nucleotides) under Escherichia coli. RNAcentral's name for it is "partial 23S ribosomal RNA". It matches the Rfam family "Bacterial large subunit ribosomal RNA", at positions 238 to 2167 of the family's 2925-position model. The record is from RNAcentral. Lineage: Bacteria; Pseudomonadati; Pseudomonadota; Gammaproteobacteria; Enterobacterales; Enterobacteriaceae.